This 539-nucleotide unclassified non-coding RNA is filed under the name Sarocladium strictum. RNAcentral's name for it is "sequence contains 18S rRNA gene, ITS1, 5.8S rRNA gene, ITS2, 28S rRNA gene". The stretch from base 207 to 360 matches the Rfam family "5.8S ribosomal RNA". Lineage: Eukaryota; Fungi; Ascomycota; Sordariomycetes; Hypocreales; Sarocladiaceae. The record is from RNAcentral.
UAACAAGGUCUCCGUUGGUGAACCAGCGGAGGGAUCAUUACCAGAGUGCCCUAGGCUCUCCAACCCAUUGUGAACUUACCAAACGUUCCCUCGGCGGGCUCAGCGCGCGGUGGCCUCCGGGCCUCCGGGCGUCCGCCGGGGAAAACCAAACCCUGAUUUAAUCGUAUUUCUCUGAGGGGCGAAAGCCCGAAAACAAAAUGAAUCAAAACUUUCAACAACGGAUCUCUUGGCUCUGGCAUCGAUGAAGAACGCAGCGAAAUGCGAUAAGUAAUGUGAAUUGCAGAAUUCAGUGAAUCAUCGAAUCUUUGAACGCACAUUGCGCCCGCCGGCACUCCGGCGGGCAUGCCUGUCCGAGCGUCAUUUCAACCCUCAGGCCCACCCUUCCGGGGGAGCGGGCCUGGUUCUGGGGAUCGGCGGCCCUCGCGGCCCCCGUCCCUCAAAUUCAGUGGCGGUCGCGCCGCAGCCUCCCCUGCGUAGUAGCACAACCUCGCACCGGAGAGCGGAACGACCACGCCGUAAAACACCCAAUUUUUUAAGGU